This 189-nucleotide microRNA precursor is filed under the name Oryza brachyantha (malo sina). RNAcentral describes it as "MIR812 microRNA precursor family". It matches the Rfam family "MIR812 microRNA precursor family". Lineage: Eukaryota; Viridiplantae; Streptophyta; Magnoliopsida; Poales; Poaceae. The record is from Rfam by way of RNAcentral.
AAUAAACCAAUUCCUACGUUUUUGGAUUGAAUUUUUGACUCUUCGUCUUAUUUGAAAUUUUUUAUUAAUAUUUUUAUUGUUAUUACAUGAUAAAACAUAAAUAGUACUUUGCAUGUGACUAUUUUUUUUUCAAUUUUUUAAUAAAUUCUUUAAAUAAGACGGAUGGUCAAACGCUCAAAACCCAGAAUC